CACGGAGUUAGCCGGAGCUUAUUCUCCCGGUACUGUCAUUAUCAUCCCGGGUAAAAGAGCUUUACAACCCUAAGGCCUUCAUCACUCGCGCGGCAUUGCUGGAUCAGGCUUUCGCCCAUUGUCCAAUAUUCCCCACUGCUGCCUCCCGUAGGAGUCUGGGCCGUGUCUCAGUCCCAGUGUGGCUGAUCAUCCUCUCAGACCAGCUACGGAUCGUCGCCUUGGUAGGCCUUUACCCCACCAACUAGCUAAUCCGACGCGGGCUCAUCCUCUGGCGAUAAAUCUUUGGACUUACGUCAUCAUCCGGUAUUAGCUGUCGUUUCCAACAGUUAUCCCAGACCAAAGGGCAGAUUCCCACGCGUUACGCACCCGUGCGCCACUAUGCCCGAAAGCAUCGUUCGACUUGCAUGUGUUAGGCAUGCCGCCAGCGUUCGUUCUGAGCCAGGAUCAAACUCU
This 453-nucleotide ribosomal RNA is filed under the name uncultured Sphingomonas sp. RNAcentral describes it as "partial 16S ribosomal RNA". The record is from RNAcentral. Lineage: Bacteria; Pseudomonadati; Pseudomonadota; Alphaproteobacteria; Sphingomonadales; Sphingomonadaceae.